GAUGAACGCUGGCGGCGUGCCUAACACAUGCAAGUCGAGCGAGAAACCUGCAAUUGAAACUUCGGUAGAUUUUGCGGGCGGAAAGCGGCGGACGGGUGAGUAACGCGUAGGCAACCUGCCCUUUGCAGAGGGAUAGCAACGGGAAACUGUUAUUAAAACCUCAUAAUACCGACAUGUCAAAUGACAAGACGGUCAAAGAUUUAUCGGCAAAGGAUGGGCCUGCGUCUGAUUAGUUAGUUGGUAGGGUAACGGCCUACCAAGGCAGCGAUCAGUAGCCGACCUGAGAGGGUGAUCGGCCACAUGGGAACUGAGACACGGGCCCAACUCCUACGGGAGGCAGCAGUGGGGAAUAUUGCACAAUGGGCGAAAGCCUGAUGCAGCAACGCCGCGUGAAGGAUGAAGGCCUUUGGGUCGUAAACUUCUGUCCUUGGGGAAGAAAAAAAUGACGGUACCCCUGGAGGAAGUCCCGGCUAACUACGUGCCAGCAGCCGCCGUAA
This 497-nucleotide ribosomal RNA is filed under the name uncultured bacterium. Its description in RNAcentral is "partial 16S ribosomal RNA". It matches the Rfam family "Bacterial small subunit ribosomal RNA", at positions 28 to 523 of the family's 1533-position model. The record is from RNAcentral.